GACGAACGCUGGCGGCGUGCUUAACACAUGCAAGUCGAACGGAAAGGCCCUGCUCUUGUUGGGUGCUCGAGUGGCGAACGGGUGAGUAACACGUGAGUAACCUGCCCUUGUCUUUGGGAUAACUUCAGGAAACUGGGGCUCAUAUCGCAUAGGAUCUCCUGCUGCGUGUUGGGGGUUGGAAAGUUUCGGCGGUUGUGGAUGUACUCGCGGCUUAUCAGCUUGUUUGUGGGGUAGUGGCUUACGAAGGGUUUGACGGGUAGGCCGCUUGAGAGGGUGGACGGGGACCUGAGGCCUAAGAGAGGGAGCAGAAUGGUAGCGGAGGCAGCGGGCGGGAACAUGGCGGAGCGGGGGGGAGCGAGAUGUGGAGACGCUGGGUGCGGGAUACCCGCCUUCGGGUUAUAAACCGAUUUCGCAUGAGAUGAAGCGUGCGUGACGGUAAUGGGUCAAGAAGCCACGGCUAACUACGUG
This 468-nucleotide ribosomal RNA is filed under the name uncultured bacterium. Its description in RNAcentral is "partial 16S ribosomal RNA". It matches the Rfam family "Bacterial small subunit ribosomal RNA", at positions 28 to 507 of the family's 1533-position model. The record is from RNAcentral.